RNAcentral lists this ribosomal RNA (465 nucleotides) under Vreelandella stevensii. Its description in RNAcentral is "partial 16S ribosomal RNA". It matches the Rfam family "Bacterial small subunit ribosomal RNA", at positions 338 to 795 of the family's 1533-position model. Lineage: Bacteria; Pseudomonadati; Pseudomonadota; Gammaproteobacteria; Oceanospirillales; Halomonadaceae. The record is from RNAcentral.
CCUACGGGUGGCAGCAGUGGGGAAUAUUGGACAAUGGGCGAAAGCCUGAUCCAGCCAUGCCGCGUGUGUGAAGAAGGCCUUCGGGUUGUAAAGCACUUUCAGUGGGGAAGAAAGCCUUGGGGCUAAUACCCUCGAGGAAGGACAUCACCCACAGAAGAAGCACCGGCUAACUCCGUGCCAGCAGCCGCGGUAAUACGGAGGGUGCGAGCGUUAAUCGGAUUUACUGGGCGUAAAGCGCGCGUAGGCGGUCUGAUAAGCCGGUUGUGAAAGCCCCGGGCUCAACCUGGGAACGGCAUCCGGAACUGUCAGGCUAGAGUGCAGGAGAGGAAGGUAGAAUUCCCGGUGUAGCGGUGAAAUGCGUAGAGAUCGGGAGGAAUACCAGUGGCGAAGGCGGCCUUCUGGACUGACACUGACGCUGAGGUGCGAAAGCGUGGGUAGCAAACAGGAUUAGAUACCCCAGUAGUC